ACUAAACAGAAAAGGGGGGAACAGUGAUGAAACUUUCAGACCAUGGAAUUUAAACUGAAUUGCUCAUUUGUAGUUAUUUCUAACAGUCAUAUCAUUUGCCAAACUAUGGGGAAAAGACUGUUUUAUUUCAUUCAGUGGUAAAUUGUUGGGUAUAAAUGUGGAAAACUGUAAAUUAAAGCAGCGUGUUAGUUCCACAUGUUAUACCUUCAG
This 210-nucleotide long non-coding RNA is filed under the name Mytilus galloprovincialis (Mediterranean mussel). Lineage: Eukaryota; Metazoa; Mollusca; Bivalvia; Mytilida; Mytilidae. The record is from RNAcentral.